UACGGGGGGAGCAAGCGUUGUUCGGAUUUACUGGGCGUAAAGGGCGCGUAGGCGGUCAGCACAAGUCAGUUGUGAAAUCUCCGGGCUUAACUCGGAAAGGUCAACUGAUACUGUGCGACUAGAGUGCAGAAGGGGCAACUGGAAUUCUCGGUGUAGCGGUGAAAUGCGUAGAUAUCAGGAGGAACACCGGUGGCGAAGGCGGGUCUCUGGGCCAUAACUGACGCUGAGGAGCGAAAGCGUGGGGAGCGAACAGG
Molecule: ribosomal RNA, 254 nt
Filed under: uncultured bacterium
Lineage: Bacteria
Description: partial 16S ribosomal RNA
Rfam family: Bacterial small subunit ribosomal RNA
Source: RNAcentral